This 776-nucleotide ribosomal RNA is filed under the name uncultured Neocallimastigales. RNAcentral's name for it is "partial large subunit ribosomal RNA". It matches the Rfam family "Eukaryotic large subunit ribosomal RNA", at positions 24 to 633 of the family's 3401-position model. Lineage: Eukaryota; Fungi; Neocallimastigomycota; Neocallimastigomycetes; Neocallimastigales. The record is from RNAcentral.
UAUCUCUGUAGAGUCUGCAUAUCAAUAAGCGGAGGAAAAGAAACUAACUAGGAUUCCCUUCAGUAACGGCGAGUGAAGCGGGAAGAGCUCAAAUUUGAAAUCUUCAAGGUUCUACCUUGACGAAUUGUAGUUUAAAGAAGUGUUUUCUGUUGGAUGUUUUGGUAAAAGUUCUUUGGAAUAGGACAUCAUAGAGGGUGAGAAUCCCGUAUUUGACCAUUACUUCCAGCGUUGUGAUACACUUUCAAAGAGUCGGAUUGUUUGGGAAUGCAGUCCAAAAUGGGUGGUAAAUUUCAUCUAAAGCUAAAUAUUGGCGAGAGACCGAUAGCGAACAAGUACCGUGAGGGAAAGAUGAAAAGAACUUUGAAAAGAGAGUUAAACAGUACGUGAAAUUGUCAAAAGGGAAGCGUUUGACACCAGUGUUGUUUUUCUGAAAAUCAAUUAAAGAACUGUUUAUGCUAAGCUGUUUAGACUUUAUCAGCUAUCUGUUUAGUUUUGAGCUUUUCUUUAAUGCACUUUUCAAUUAACAAGUCAACAUCAAUUUCUUUUGCUGUAAAAGAGCUUGAGGAAGGUGGCUUGAGAUUCGUCUUAAGUGUUUAUAGCCUCUUGCCUAUGCAGUCGGAGAGAUUGAGGUCUGCAGCGUAGAUCCUUCGGGGUUAGAUACAUUUGUGCUAAGUUAUAGCCUUUCAUAGACAACUUGUUGACUAUGAUCAGUCAUGUAGCUUACUCGCUUAUGCUAUUUUACCUACGCUUAGGAUGUUGACGAUCAGCUGAGCGCG